GGAUGUGAGGGUGAUCUAGCUGUGACAUCUGUCACUCCAUUGAUCGCCAGGGUUGAUUUGGCUGAUCUGGCUGGCUAGGCGGAUGUCCCCUUCCUCCUUCACCACUCCAUGUGCGACGACCAUCCCGGAUAGAGGAGGACCAUUCUUUGGUCAAGGGUAUAUGAGUAGCUGCGCUCCCCUGCUAGAAUCUCCAAACAAGCUCUCAAGGUCCUAGAAGUGGAAUUGUUGAAUCAUAUAGUAAUUCUAAUUUUAAUAUUUUGAGGAACUAUAAUAUUUU
RNAcentral lists this small nuclear RNA (277 nucleotides) under Castor canadensis (American beaver). Its description in RNAcentral is "7SK RNA (ENSCCNG00000023109.1)". It matches the Rfam family "7SK RNA". From Rfam's summary of the family: 7SK was discovered as an abundant small nuclear RNA in the mid-70s but a possible function has only recently been suggested. Two independent studies have found that 7SK RNA binds the CDK9/cyclin T complex (known as elongation factor P-TEFb). The record is from RNAcentral. Lineage: Eukaryota; Metazoa; Chordata; Mammalia; Rodentia; Castoridae.